This 253-nucleotide ribosomal RNA is filed under the name uncultured bacterium. RNAcentral's name for it is "partial 16S ribosomal RNA". It matches the Rfam family "Bacterial small subunit ribosomal RNA", at positions 524 to 776 of the family's 1533-position model. The record is from RNAcentral.
UACGAAGGGUGCAAGCGUUACUCGGAAUUACUGGGCGUAAAGCGUGCGUAGGUGGUUUGUUAAGUCUGAUGUGAAAGCCCUGGGCUCAACCUGGGAAUUGCAUUGGAUACUGGCAGGCUAGAGUGCGGUAGAGGGUAGUGGAAUUCCCGGUGUAGCAGUGAAAUGCGUAGAGAUCGGGAGGAACAUCUGUGGCGAAGGCGGCGACCUGGACAGAUAUUGACGCUGAGGUGCGAAAGCGUGGGGAGCAAACAGG